CUCAGAACGAACGCUGGCGGCAGGCCUAACACAUGCAAGUCGAGCGAGGACUUCGGUCCUAGCGGCGGACGGGUGAGUAACGCGUGGGAACGUGCCCUUCACUACGGAAUAGUCCCGGGAAACUGGGUUUAAUACCGUAUACGCCCUUCGGGGGAAAGAAUUUCGGUGAAGGAUCGGCCCGCGUCUGAUUAGGUAGUUGGUGGGGUAACGGCCUACCAAGCCUACGAUCAGUAGCUGGUUUGAGAGGAUGAUCAGCCACACUGGGACUGAGACACGGCCCAGACUCCUACGGGAGGCAGCAGUGGGGAAUCUUAGACAAUGGGGGCAACCCUGAUCUAGCCAUGCCGCGUGAGUGACGAAGGCCCUAGGGUCGUAAAGCUCUUUCACCAGGGAAGAUAAUGACGGUACCUGGAGAAGAAACCCCGGCUAACUCCGUGCCAGCAGCCGCGGUAAUACGGAGGGGGUUAGCGUUGUUCGGAAUUACUGGGCGUAAAGCGCGCGUAGGCGGACUGUUAAGUCAGGGGUGAAAUCCCGGGGCUCAACCCCGGAACUGCCCUUGAUACUGGCAGUCUCGAGUUCGAGAGAGGUGAGUGGAACUCCGAGUGUAGAGGUGAAAUUCGUAGAUAUUCGGAAGAACACCAGUGGCGAAGGCGGCUCACUGGCUCGAUACUGACGCUGAGGUGCGAAAGUGUGGGGGGCAAACAGGAUUAGAUACCCUGGUAGUCCACACCGUAAACGAUGAAUGCCAGACGUCGGGCAGCAUGCUGU
RNAcentral lists this ribosomal RNA (768 nucleotides) under uncultured organism. RNAcentral's name for it is "bacterial SSU rRNA". It matches the Rfam family "Bacterial small subunit ribosomal RNA", at positions 23 to 839 of the family's 1533-position model. The record is from RNAcentral.